This 253-nucleotide ribosomal RNA is filed under the name uncultured bacterium. Its description in RNAcentral is "partial 16S ribosomal RNA". It matches the Rfam family "Bacterial small subunit ribosomal RNA", at positions 524 to 776 of the family's 1533-position model. The record is from RNAcentral.
UACGGAGGGUGCGAGCGUUGUCCGGAAUUAUUGGGCGUAAAGAGCUCGUAGGCGGUCUGUCGCGUCGGCUGUGAAAACUCAGGGCUCAACCCUGAGCCUGCAGUCGAUACGGGCAGACUAGAGUUCGGUAGGGGAGACUGGAAUUCCUGGUGUAGCGGUGAAAUGCGCAGAUAUCAGGAGGAACACCGGUGGCGAAGGCGGGUCUCUGGGCCGAAACUGACGCUGAGGAGCGAAAGCGUGGGGAGCGAACAGG